RNAcentral lists this ribosomal RNA (550 nucleotides) under Escherichia coli. Its description in RNAcentral is "partial 23S ribosomal RNA". It matches the Rfam family "Bacterial large subunit ribosomal RNA", at positions 2399 to 2925 of the family's 2925-position model. The record is from RNAcentral. Lineage: Bacteria; Pseudomonadati; Pseudomonadota; Gammaproteobacteria; Enterobacterales; Enterobacteriaceae.
GCGAAAGCAGGUCAUAGUGAUCCGGUGGUUCUGAAUGGAAGGGCCAUCGCUCAACGGAUAAAAGGUACUCCGGGGAUAACAGGCUGAUACCGCCCAAGAGUUCAUAUCGACGGCGGUGUUUGGCACCUCGAUGUCGGCUCAUCACAUCCUGGGGCUGAAGUAGGUCCCAAGGGUAUGGCUGUUCGCCAUUUAAAGUGGUACGCGAGCUGGGUUUAGAACGUCGUGAGACAGUUCGGUCCCUAUCUGCCGUGGGCGCUGGAGAACUGAGGGGGGCUGCUCCUAGUACGAGAGGACCGGAGUGGACGCAUCACUGGUGUUCGGGUUGUCAUGCCAAUGGCACUGCCCGGUAGCUAAAUGCGGAAGAGAUAAGUGCUGAAAGCAUCUAAGCACGAAACUUGCCCCGAGAUGAGUUCUCCCUGACUCCCUGAGAGUCCUGAAGGAACGUUGAAGACGACGACGUUGAUAGGCCGGGUGUGUAAGCGCAGCGAUGCGUUGAGCUAACCGGUACUAAUGAACCGUGAGGCUUAACCUUACAACGCCGAAGGUGUUU